Molecule: ribosomal RNA, 498 nt
Filed under: uncultured bacterium
Lineage: Bacteria
Description: partial 16S ribosomal RNA
Rfam family: Bacterial small subunit ribosomal RNA
Source: RNAcentral
AUUGAACGCUGGCGGCAUGCCUUACACAUGCAAGUCGAACGGUAACAGGUCUUCGGAUGCUGACGAGUGGCGAACGGGUGAGUAAUACAUCGGAACGUGCCUAGUAGUGGGGGAUAACUACUCGAAAGAGUGGCUAAUACCGCAUGAGAUCUACGGAUGAAAGCAGGGGAUCGCAAGACCUUGUGCUACUAGAGCGGCCGAUGGCAGAUUAGGUAGUUGGUGGGAUAAAAGCUUACCAAGCCGACGAUCUGUAGCUGGUCUGAGAGGACGAUCAGCCACACUGGGACUGAGACACGGCCCAGACUCCUACGGGAGGCAGCAGUGGGGAAUUUUGGACAAUGGGCGCAAGCCUGAUCCAGCAAUGCCGCGUGCAGGAUGAAGGCCCUCGGGUUGUAAACUGCUUUUGUACGGAACGGAAAGCCCCGGGUUAAUACCCUGGGGUCAUGACGGUACCGUAAGAAUAAGCACCGGCUAACUACGUGCCAGCAGCCGCGGUAA